RNAcentral lists this ribosomal RNA (506 nucleotides) under uncultured Pseudomonas sp. Its description in RNAcentral is "bacterial SSU rRNA". It matches the Rfam family "Bacterial small subunit ribosomal RNA", at positions 1 to 500 of the family's 1533-position model. The record is from RNAcentral. Lineage: Bacteria; Pseudomonadati; Pseudomonadota; Gammaproteobacteria; Pseudomonadales; Pseudomonadaceae.
CCGUUUUUAGAGUUUUGGAUCUGGCUCAGAUUGAACGCUGGCGGCAGGCCUAACACAUGCAAGUCGAGCGGAUGAAGGGAGCUUGCUCCUGGAUUCAGCGGCGGACGGGUGAGUAAUGCCUAGGAAUCUGCCUGGUAGUGGGGGACAACGUUUCGAAAGGAACGCUAAUACCGCAUACGUCCUACGGGAGAAAGCAGGGGACCUUCGGGCCUUGCGCUAUCAGAUGAGCCUAGGUCGGAUUAGCUAGUUGGUGGGGUAAUGGCCCACCAAGGCGACGAUCCGUAGCUGGUCUGAGAGGAUGAUCAGCCACACUGGGACUGAGACACGGCCCAGACUCCUACGGGAGGCAGCAGUGGGGAAUAUUGGACAAUGGGCGAAAGCCUGAUCCAGCCAUGCCGCGUGUGUGAAGAAGGUCUUCGGAUUGUAAAGCACUUUAAGUUGGGAGGAAGGGCUGUUACCUAAUACGUGACAGUUUUGACGUUACCAACAGAAUAAGCACCGGCUAC